CUUGAUCUCAAAUUGAAAGAGAUUUUCUAAAAUUUGCUAGAACAGCUACAAAAUUUGCUAUAGUCUGCUAAACUAAAAACACUUCUCCAGAUAGAUAAAAGUUAAACUUAAAGUAACAUAUUUUAAAGUGCACUUUAAUUAAAUUUCAAAACAUUCAAUAGUUGUAUUAAUUUUUUUCUAUCCAAAUUGCAAGAUUGUUUCAUCAAUAUUGUUACAGAACAAUGGGAAAUUGAUUUAUUUAAUAACAAUGGGGAAAUUGAUUUAUUUUACAACUUUGUCAUCAUUGACUAAUAUUAAAUUUGUGUUCUUUUACCCCAUGUAAAGGUUUUAAUAGCAUCUUAGCAUAUGUUUAUAAAACAUAAGUAAUUGAAAGAGACUUACCUGUAUGUGUUAGUCCUUCCACAAUAUUCAAACACACUUCUAGAGGAAGUCAUGUGAUAAGCACCUUGCGAUUUAUUACUCCUAAAUUGUACCUUGGAGGAAUUUCGGGUAGCCACGGAGAUAUCCUACCAUUGACAGUUAUCGUUAGAGGUACGAGUGUUUUUUUGGAAGAUGUUUGAUCACAGUUGGUCGAGAACGACACCAGAUGAACAUUCUCGCUUUUCGUGGAUGAUAAAGCGUCCAUUCUUCCGAUAGCAGCAUCGACGCGUUGGGAUAGGAACCAGAGGUUGAGAAGACAAUUCAAAAAAUCUGUAACAAAGCAACAUAAUCAUAAAUAAAAUGAGAAAAAUCUAUCUUUAAUGCUU
This is a long non-coding RNA of Centruroides sculpturatus (bark scorpion), 746 nucleotides long. RefSeq lists it as uncharacterized. NCBI's taxonomy places the organism in Eukaryota, Metazoa, Arthropoda, Arachnida, Scorpiones, Buthidae. The transcript is spliced from 2 exons. The record is from RefSeq and is a predicted model, not a curated record.